Molecule: long non-coding RNA, 1036 nt
Organism: Gasterosteus aculeatus aculeatus (three-spined stickleback)
Lineage: Eukaryota; Metazoa; Chordata; Actinopteri; Perciformes; Gasterosteidae
Source: Ensembl
CCUCUGGCCUUCACCUACAAAAUGUCAAAUAGACACCAAACAACCAGGACUUGAAAGGCCUUCAAAGAAAAAUAACACCACUACAAAGAGAAACAACACGGCUACAAAUAGAUUCAACUUCAAAGAGACACAAAACCAAAACAAAUGAUUCUAAACCACAACAAAGAGAAACAAAACCACCACACAAGACUCAGAACUACUACAACAAGAGUCAAAACUACUACGACACUCAAAACUACUGCGAGACUCAAAACUACUACAACAAGACUCAAACAAAGAGACUCAAAACUACUACAAUGAGACUCCAAACUACUACGAGACUCAAAACUACUACAACAAGACUCAAACAAAGAGACUCAAAACUACUACAACAAGAGUCAAAACUACUACAAAACUCAAAACUACUACAAAACUCAAAACUACUACAAUGAGACUCAAAACUACUACAACAAGACUCAAAACUACUACAACGAGACUCAAACAAAGAGACUCAAAACUACUACAACAAGACUCAAAACUACUACAACGAGACUCAAACAAAGAGACUCAAAACUACUACAACGAGACUCAAAACUACUACGAGACUCAAAACUACUACAACAAGACUCAAAACUACUACAACGAGACUCAAACAAAGAGACUCAAAACUACUACAACGAGACUCAAAACUACUACAACAAGACUCAAACAAAGAAAAACAAAACCACCACACAAGACUCAGAACUACUACAACGAGACUUAAAACUACUACGAGACUCAAAACUACUACCACAAGACUCAAACAAAGAGACUCAAAACUACUACAAGACUCAAAACUACUACAACAACACUCAAACAAAGAGACUCAAAACUACUACAACAAGAACUCAAAAGUAGUACGAGACUCAAAACUACUACAACGAGACUCAAAACUACUACAAGACUCAAACAAAGAGACUCAAAACUACUACAAGAUUCAAAACUACUACAACGAGACUCAAACAAAGACACUCAAAACUACUACAACAAGACUCAAAACUAGUACAACGAGACUCAU